GUCUAUGGCCAUACUACCCUGAGUACACCGGAUCUUGGAAGCUAACCAGGGUUUGUCCUGGUUAGUGCUCGGAUGGGAGACCACCUGGGAAUACUGGGUACUGUAGACU
RNAcentral lists this ribosomal RNA (109 nucleotides) under Cebus imitator (Panamanian white-faced capuchin). Lineage: Eukaryota; Metazoa; Chordata; Mammalia; Primates; Cebidae. The record is from RNAcentral.